RNAcentral lists this ribosomal RNA (305 nucleotides) under uncultured bacterium. RNAcentral describes it as "bacterial SSU rRNA". It matches the Rfam family "Bacterial small subunit ribosomal RNA", at positions 333 to 653 of the family's 1533-position model. The record is from RNAcentral.
GGACUCCUAGGGAGGCAGCAGUGGGGGAUAUUGCACAAUGGGGGAAACCCUGAUGCAGCAACGCCGCGUGAGGGAAGAAGGUCUUCGGAUUGUAAACCUUUGUUUUUGGUGACGAAAGAAAUGACGGUAGCCAAAGAGGAAGCUCCGGCUAACUACGUGCCAGCAGCCGCGGUAAUACGUAGGGAGCGAGCGUUGUCCGGAAUUACUGGGUGUAAAGGGUGCGCAGGCGGGACAUUAAGUUGGAUGUGAAAUGCCGGGGCUCAACCCCGGAGCUGCAUCCAAAACUGAAGUUCUUGAGUGAAGUG